UAUAGGAUCUAGCCUGGUGGUCAGCGUCAUGCUAUGAGAUUCGGGCGACCAGGGGAUCGAAUCCCACGGAGCCCAAUUUUAUUUUUCCCCUUGCGUAAGUUCAUGUUUUCCCUUAAAUCAUGCAUACAUGGUCACUUGGGCCUAAUCUAAUCCUGGGCUGCUGCACUUUGGUGCAAUUCGGCCCAUACGUUUUUUUUAUUUAACCUGCGAUUUUAUUUAAUUUCAAAAAAUGCAUUGAUUUUCAAAAGAACGUAGUUUCUAAACCGUGCAUCGGAUCGGAAUGAUUUAUAUAUGUAAAAUGUGUAGAAUUUUAUGUAGAUUAAUAUUUUUCAACUCUCAUGCAUAAUUAGAACUGUUUAGUGUGCUGUUUACCUCGUUUUGCGUGUCGACAUGUUGAAACGGUUUAGGUCGUAACUAUUUGUUCGUAGCUCCGUUCGAGAUGUGCCAUAUAUGUAAAUGGAGCAGAACGACGUGUACUUUCACGUGAACCACUUUGUUUUGACGUUUAACAAUAUUAAAAUGUGAUUAGGACAAAUCUGGACAGAAUUAGAAUUUAACGCGUGGGGUCAUUUCGGAGAUGCUAUGAGUUGUUUCCGACCUCAUUUAAAAUGCAUAGUUGGGUAGAUUAAUUACGCUUCACCUCUUGCCAUGUUUAACCACAUUUAAUAUUGUCGUGUACCUGAACGGGAGUGAACUAAAUAAUUCAACGUGGAGUUUCGUCGAUAUGCAACUCGUUGCAUAUCAAGCUUCACUUAAUGUGUAGUGUUGGAUUGUUGUGAUUGUCAUGCCUUGCAUUAGACCGUUCAUGCAUCAUAUGUGUCUUGCAUCGUGUGGUGAAUCCGUGUGUUGAUUUGUGUUUCUGGUUUGCUUCGCCUCGAUAGAGUUCCGCAAGCGAGUCGGAUAGUGAGGACCCGUUCGACUACGUCGGUCCAUCUGCUUCACGGAGGCAUUCUUCUUCCAAGCGGGAUCUCAGGCAAGAUGACCAUUUCCCCAUAUACCAUUACUAUCAUUGCCAUGCUAGUAUUACCGUUUCUAUCGAAUAUGUAUCGUUGCCUACCACAUGUCAAAUAUCAGCCUCUCAACAAUGCCAUGAAACCUUCAACCUGUUCAACCUAGCAAACCACUGAUUGGCUAUGUUACUGCUUGCUUAACCAUGUUGUUAGCAUUGCUAGUUGCAGGUGCAUCGCUUCCAUGUGAAAGCAUGGGUUCCUUGUUAUAUCACCAUAUUAAAUGCUAUUUAAUUUAAUGCACAUAUACACUUGGUAAAAGGUGGAAGGCUCGGCCUUUCUAGCCUGGUGUUUUGUUCCACCUUUGCCCCCUUAGUUUCGGCUACCGGUGUUAUGUUCCACAAUUGAGCGCUCAUAACACGAUCGGGGUUGUUAUGGGGACCCCCUUGAUAAUUAAUUUUAGAUUAAAGCUGGUCUGGCAAGGCCCAACACUGGUACUAUUUGCCCAACAUAAUAAUUCUGUUAAAAAGAAAUGCAUAGGGAGUUAGCGCUACCCGAGGAGUAAUUCUACAUAAUACAGGGGGGCAGUGUUGUUGGUGCUGGUCCAAAACUAGAGUCGUUUGCGGGGCCAGCCCGGGGCAACUCGGGAGAUUUCUAUCAGGCCACCGUACGCUCUGCUUAUCCGUCGUGUCCUGAGAACGAGAUACGCGGCUCCUAUCGGGAUCGUCAACACGUCGGGCUGCCUUGCUGGAUUAGUUUUACCUUUGACGAGAUAUCUUGUGCAUCGGGAUUCCGGUGAUGCUUUGGGUAAUCUCAUAGUUGAGGUUUUCCACUAUGGAAUCUGAUGAGAUCGUGAGUGUCGUGAUCGAGGAUUUCUAUGCGGCUUGUGGUAAUUUGUGAUGGACUAGUUGGAGCACCCCUGCAGGGUUAAAUCUUUUCGGAAAGCCGUGCCCGCGGUUAUGUGGCAACGUGGAAACUUUGUUUAACAUUGGUUCUAGAUAACUUGAAGUUAACUUAAUUAAAAUAUGCCAACUGUGUGCGUAACCAUGACUGUCUCUUUCGUGAGUUCCUUCUCCGAUCGAGGAUACGGUGGGGUUAUGUUUGACGUAGGUAGGUGUUCAGGAUCAUUCUUUUGAUCAUCAGUAGACACGUCCGUUAUGCGUAGAUCUUCCCCCUCUUAUUUCUUGUACUCGUAAGUUUAGCCACCAAAUAUAUGCUUAGCCGUUGCUGCAACCUCACCACUUAACCAUGCCUCACCCAGUAAGCUUUGCUAGUCUUGAUACCUUUGGAAAUGAGAUUGCUGAGUCCCCUGUGGCUCACAGAUUACUACAACACCAGUUGCAGGUACAGGUAAAGGUUACUUGACGCGAGCGCGUUGAUUGUUCAUUUGGAGUUGCUUCUUCUUCUUCUUCAUCGAUCUAGGAUGGGUUUCAGGCCGGCAGCCUGGGAUAGCAAGGAUGGACGUCGUUCUUCUUUUGUCGUUUGUUUUCGUCCGUAGUCGGACCCUGCUCUUACUCUUGAUGAUUAUGUAAUGUACUCAUGUGACUCUGAUGUAGCUUGUGGCGAGUGUAAGCCAACUAUGUAUAUAUAUCUCUUAUUUUCAGUACAUGUACUUGUAACGAUAUCCAUUCUUGCGACACGACGAGAUGCGCUUCUAUCCCUGACGAGGCCUUCGUGCCAAAUUGAGGAUGGACGUGCUACGGAACGAGUAAAGAGACUUACCGGUAA
Molecule: long non-coding RNA, 2675 nt
Filed under: Hordeum vulgare
Lineage: Eukaryota; Viridiplantae; Streptophyta; Magnoliopsida; Poales; Poaceae
Description: long non-coding RNA (HVUL_LNC007732)
Source: RNAcentral